CCUUGAGCUCAGGGAUAGCCCUCUGAAAGGAGGAUUAAUACCUGAUGUGGUAGUUGGCUGACAUCAGCUUUCAUUAAAGAUUUAUCGGCUCAUGAUGGGGAUGCGUCUGAUUAGCUUGUUGGCGGGGUAACGGCCCACCAAGGCGACGAUCAGUAGGGGUUCUGAGAGGAAGGUCCCCCACGAUAGGAACUGAGACACGGUCCUAACUCCUACGGGAGGCAGCAGUGAGGAAUAUUGGUCAAUGGUCGAGAGACUGAACCAGCCAAGUAGCGUGAAGGAUGAACCUGCCCUACGGGUUGUAAACUUCUUUUAUGCGGGAAUAAAGUGUGGCACGUGUGCCAUUUUGUAUGUACCGCAUGAAUAAGCAUCGGCUAAUUCCGUGCCAGCAGCUGC
Molecule: ribosomal RNA, 393 nt
Filed under: uncultured bacterium
Lineage: Bacteria
Description: bacterial SSU rRNA
Rfam family: Bacterial small subunit ribosomal RNA
Source: RNAcentral